GGGCUCCAGGAGAUGGGGGCCGAAUGACAACCAUGGCGCUUAGUCGACCUCCUCCAUCUUGCUCUCGCCGGCGUCGUCCUCCAGCGGCGGCAUGUCGGCGUCAGCCUCAGCAGACUCGUCCUCGUCGAUGCUCAGGCCGAGCUUGAGCAUCCGGUGGAUCCUGGUGCCGAAGGUGUUGGGGUCCUCAAGGCUGAAGCCGGAGGUCAGGAGGGCAGUCUCGAAGAGCAGCAUCACCAGGUCCUUCACAGACUUGUCGUUCUUGUCAGCAUCGGCACGCUUGCGGAGCUCGUCCAUGAUGGAAUUCUCCGGGUUGAUCUCCAUGGUCUUCUUGCUCGACAUGUAGCCGGCCAUGCUGGAGUCCCUCAGAGCCUGGGCCUUCAUGAUCCUCUCCAUGUUAGCAGUCCAGCCAUACUCCCCAGUGACUAGACAGCAGGGAGAGUCCACCACACGGUCAGAGACAACAACCUUCUCCACCUUGUCACCGAGCACCUCCUUGAUCACCUUGCACAGACCCUCGAACUUCUCCUUGAGUUCCUCCUGCCGCUUCUUCUCGUCCUCACUCU
RNAcentral lists this long non-coding RNA (563 nucleotides) under Oryza sativa (Asian cultivated rice). Its description in RNAcentral is "long non-coding RNA (OSAT_LNC001684)". The record is from RNAcentral. Lineage: Eukaryota; Viridiplantae; Streptophyta; Magnoliopsida; Poales; Poaceae.